CCUAACCUAAUGCUGGCCACCAAUAGGGCUAAACAGUGUUAGCAGGUACUGUCAGCAGGCCUCAGGCAGAAGCAGACAAGAAGGGUAAGAAGUAAAGGAGAGGGAGGAAAGGAGUUGAAAGAAUAAGAGAAUGAGGUGAAAGCUGAAGUCCCCACAGAGGGAAAUGCCACAAGACUAGGCCGUGCAACAUUUCCGCAGUGCUCCUCGCUACAAAGACAUUCCCCUAAGGCUGGUGGGCAACUCAACACUCAGCUCAGUACGUGGUCAGCUCGUCCUCCAUAGGAGCCUUAUGCCUUGGUGAGGAGAUCUCUGAAGAAAUUGCUGAUGAAAGUCCAACAGGCUCUUCCAGUUUGUCUGGUCGGUCACAUUUGCUGAAACCUGGAGGAAUUGUUAGUGGAAGCUCAACAGGCCUGACUCAGUCUGACUGUCCAUUCUUCUGGAAGCUGCAGAGAAAAGAAACCUGGAAACCUUAUAUGCUGACAAAAAGGGACACAAUUGGAUAUGAUGGUUAUUUUACCAAGGUUUUGAAAUGUCGUGCUUUCAAAUAUAAACAGACUGCUUUAAGGAAUCGAAGUUGACUUAUAGAGCCAA
RNAcentral lists this long non-coding RNA (591 nucleotides) under Homo sapiens (human). Its description in RNAcentral is "HSALNT0327576". Lineage: Eukaryota; Metazoa; Chordata; Mammalia; Primates; Hominidae. The record is from RNAcentral.